Molecule: ribosomal RNA, 253 nt
Filed under: uncultured bacterium
Lineage: Bacteria
Description: partial 16S ribosomal RNA
Rfam family: Bacterial small subunit ribosomal RNA
Source: RNAcentral
GACGUAGGGCGCGAGCGUUGUCCGGAUUUAUUGGGCGUAAAGAGCUCGUAGGCGGCUCGUCGCGUCGACCGUGAAAACCCGCAGCUUAACUGCGGGCCUGCGGUUGAUACGGGCGGGCUAGAGUUCGGUAGGGGAGACUGGAAUUCCUGGUGUAGCGGUGAAAUGCGCAGAUAUCAGGAGGAACACCGGUGGCGAAGGCGGGUCUCUGGGCCGAUACUGACGCUGAGGAGCGAAAGCGUGGGGAGCAAACAGG